Molecule: ribosomal RNA, 608 nt
Filed under: uncultured bacterium
Lineage: Bacteria
Description: bacterial SSU rRNA
Rfam family: Bacterial small subunit ribosomal RNA
Source: RNAcentral
CCUACGGGAGGCAGCAGUGAGGAAUAUUGCUCAAUGGACGAAAGUCUGAAGCAGCGACGCCGCGUAAGGGAUGAAGUCCGUUUGGAUGUAAACCUCUUUUGCAGAAGAAGAAUGUUUCGAUUUCUCGAAAUUGACGGUAUUUUGCGAAUAAGCACCGGCUAACUACGUGCCAGCAGCCGCGGUAAUACGUAGGGUGCGAGCGUUGUCCGGAAUUACUGGGUGUAAAGGGUCCGCAGGCGGGCGAGUAAGUCUGUGGUGAAAUCUUACGGCUUAACCGUAAAUUGCCACGGAAACUGCUUGCCUUGAGUGUGAAAGAGGAAGAUGGAAUUCAUGGUGUAGCAGUGAAAUGCGUAGAUAUCAUGAAGAACACCGGUAGCGAAGGCGAUCUUCUGGUUCACAACUGACGCUCAGGGACGAAAGCGUGGGGAGCAAACAGGAUUAGAUACCCUGGUAGUCCACGCCCUAAACCAUGGAUACUCGAUGUCGGAUCGAAAGNUUCGGUGUCUGAGCAAACGCAAUAAGUAUCCACCUGGGGAUACGAUCGCAAGGUUGAAACUCAAAGAUAGACGGCGNGAGAGAGACGACGACGACGACGACGGAGGAGGAGG